Molecule: unclassified non-coding RNA, 345 nt
Filed under: Hevea brasiliensis (rubber tree)
Lineage: Eukaryota; Viridiplantae; Streptophyta; Magnoliopsida; Malpighiales; Euphorbiaceae
Source: RNAcentral
AAGAAACCUAAAAAGCUGCUGUCUUUGCAAUCCUUUUUUACUAAUGUCUAUAUAGAUCAAGAGGCCGGUGGGCCUUGAGUGAACCUUAAUUUCAGUAGUGAAAGGAAAAUGACCACAAAACCAAAGAAAGGAUGGAAAUCAAUUUCGUCUCUCAAUUUGAAGACCAAAUCAGCAGCACAUUUUUGUUUGCUCCCCAAAUCAAAGUCGGAUCGAUAUGGUCCUGGCGACACACCUGUUUAUCUCAACGUGUAUGACUUGACUCCUAUGAACGGCUAUGUAUAUUGGGUUGGCCUUGGUAUUUUUCAUUCUGGUGUGGAAGUUCAUGGUGUAGAAUAUGCAUUUGGA